This 491-nucleotide ribosomal RNA is filed under the name uncultured bacterium. RNAcentral's name for it is "partial 16S ribosomal RNA". It matches the Rfam family "Bacterial small subunit ribosomal RNA", at positions 28 to 507 of the family's 1533-position model. The record is from RNAcentral.
GAUGAACGCUAGCUACAGGCUUAACACAUGCAAGUCGAGGGGAAACGGCAUCGAAAGCUUGCUUUUGAUGGGCGUCGACCGGCGCACGGGUGAGUAACGCGUAUCCAACCUGCCCAUCACUUGGGAAUAACCUUGCGAAAGUAAGACUAAUGCCCAAUGACAUCCCACGAAGGCAUCCGAAUGGGAUUAAAGAUUUAUCGGUGAUGGAUGGGGAUGCGUCUGAUUAGCUUGUUGGCGGGGUGACGGCCCACCAAGGCAACGAUCAGUAGGGGUUCUGAGAGGAAGGUCCCCCACAUUGGAACUGAGACACGGUCCAAACUCCUACGGGAGGCAGCAGUGAGGAAUAUUGGUCAAUGGGCGAGAGCCUGAACCAGCCAAGUAGCGUGCAGGAUGACGGCCCUAUGGGUUGUAAACUGCUUUAUAAGGGAAUAAAGUGGGUCACGUGUGACUUUUUGCAUGUACCUUAUGAAUAAGGACCGGCUAAUUCCGUG